This 787-nucleotide ribosomal RNA is filed under the name uncultured beta proteobacterium. RNAcentral describes it as "bacterial SSU rRNA". It matches the Rfam family "Bacterial small subunit ribosomal RNA", at positions 37 to 820 of the family's 1533-position model. Lineage: Bacteria; Pseudomonadati; Pseudomonadota; Betaproteobacteria. The record is from RNAcentral.
UGGCGGCUGCCUUACCUGCAAGUCGAACGGCAGCACGGGGGGUAACCCCUGGUGGCGAGUGGUGAACGGGUGAGUAAUAUAUCGGAACGUACCCUGUAGCGGGGGAUAACCUAUCGAAAGAUGGACUAAUACCGCAUACGACCUAAGGGUGAAAGCGGAGGACCGCAAGGCUUCGCACUAUAGGAGCGGCCGAUAUCGGAUUAGCUAGUUGGUGGGGUAACGGCCUACCAAGGCGACGAUCCGUAGCUGGUCUGAGAGGACGAUCAGCCACACUGGAACUGAGACACGGUCCAGACUCCUACGGGAGGCAGCAGUGGGGAAUUUUGGACAAUGGGCGCAAGCCUGAUCCAGCCAUGCCGCGUGAGUGAAGAAGGCCUUCGGGUUGUAAAGCUCUUUCGGCGGGGACGAAACGGUUCGUGCUAAUACCACGGACUAAUGACGGUACCCGCAUAAGAAGCACCGGCUAACUACGUGCCAGCAGCCGCGGUAAUACGUAGGGUGCAGGCGUUAAUCGGAAUUACUGGGCGUAAAGCGUGCGCAGGCGGUUUGUUAAGACAGGUGUGAAAUCCCCGGGCUUAACCUGGGAAUUGCGCUUGUAACUGGCAGACUUGAGUGUGGCAGAGGGGGGUGGAAUUCCAAGUGUAGCAGUGAAAUGCGUAGAUAUUUGGAGGAACACCGAUGGCGAAGGCAGCCCCCUGCGCUAACACUGACGCUCAUGCACGAAAGCGUGGGGAGCAAACAGGAUUAGAUACCCUGGUAGUCCACGCCCUAAACUAUGUCAACUGGG